This 484-nucleotide ribosomal RNA is filed under the name uncultured bacterium. RNAcentral describes it as "partial 16S ribosomal RNA". It matches the Rfam family "Bacterial small subunit ribosomal RNA", at positions 30 to 507 of the family's 1533-position model. The record is from RNAcentral.
AUUGAACGCUGGCGGCAGGCCUAACACAUGCAAGUCGAGCGGAUGAAGGGAGCUUGCUCCUGGAUUCAGCGGCGGACGGGUGAGUAAUGCCUAGGAAUCUGCCUGGUAGUGGGGGAUAACGUCCGGAAACGGGCGCUAAUACCGCAUACGUCCUGAGGGAGAAAGUGGGGGAUCUUCGGACCUCACGCUAUCAGAUGAGCCUAGGUCGGAUUAGCUAGUUGGUGGGGUAAAGGCCUACCAAGGCGACGAUCCGUAACUGGUCUGAGAGGAUGAUCAGUCACACUGGAGCGGAGACACGGUCCAGACUCCUACGGGAGGCAGCAGUGGGGAAUAUUGGACAAUGGGCGAAAGCAUGAUCCAGCGAUGCCGCGUGUGUGAAAAAGGUCUUCGGAUUGUAAAGCACUUUAAGUUGGGAGGAAGGGCAGUAAGUUAAUACCUUGCUGUUUUGACGUUACCAACAGAAUAAGCACCGGCUAACUUCGUG